Molecule: non-coding RNA, 255 nt
Organism: Cinara cedri
Lineage: Eukaryota; Metazoa; Arthropoda; Insecta; Hemiptera; Aphididae
Source: the annotation of a GenBank genome assembly
AACCAGUAGCUACUACUGCUGAGUCAUUAUCAGUAGCUGCUGCUGAACCAUUAUCAGUAGCUGCUGUUGAACCAGUAGCUGAUGCUGCUAAACUGGUAGUUGAUGCUGCUAAACCAGUAGUAGCUGCUGCUAAACCAGUAGUAGCUGCUGUUGCUGCUGCUGCUGCUACUACUGCUGCUGCUGCUACUACUACUACUGCUGCUGCUGCUGCUGCUGCUGCUACUACUACUACUGCUGCUGCUGCUACUACUACUG